UAUUAGAAAGUAUUGAGAUACAUUAAACUUUGACUUUAAAGGUACAGGGUGUCCUGUUUUAAUAG
RNAcentral lists this transfer RNA (65 nucleotides) under Pseudobiotus sp. SHR-2005. Its description in RNAcentral is "tRNA-Gln". RNAcentral also lists the same sequence under 1 other name. Lineage: Eukaryota; Metazoa; Tardigrada; Eutardigrada; Parachela; Doryphoribiidae. The record is from RNAcentral.